RNAcentral lists this ribosomal RNA (372 nucleotides) under Triticum aestivum (bread wheat). RNAcentral's name for it is "partial small subunit ribosomal RNA". Lineage: Eukaryota; Viridiplantae; Streptophyta; Magnoliopsida; Poales; Poaceae. The record is from RNAcentral.
AUGAAGUCUCCUCUCGAGGUGUUGCUUCAUGAAACUCCAGAUUACUCCUUUCUUAAAGUGUUUGGUUGUGCGUGUUGGCCACAUCUUCGUCCGUACAACAAGCAUAAACUUGAGUAUCGAUCAAAAAAAUGUGUGUUCCUUGGGUACAGUCCUCUCCACAAAGGUUACAAGUGUCUCCACAUUCCAACGAAUCGUGUUUACAUUUCCCGUGAUGUUGUGUUCGAUGAGACUGUCUUCCCUUUUUCCACGCUCACAUCUUCCACUGAUACUCCCGUCACCGAGUUGCACUCUUUUCCAGUUUUGCUUGAUCAGUUUGUGGAUGCUGCAUAUUCUCCUCUGUUGUUGCCUAACCAUAGUGCAGGGACUGGAUGA